CCGGAGCCUGGGGUCUCUGGAGGGGGGACUCGGAGUAUCCGAGGAGGAGACUCCUGGAUGCUAACAGAGACCCCAGUCAGGAGCAGUCCGCGAGACGGUUAGUAACAGUGCUGGCCUUGCCCGGGCGCCGGAAAGUUCUGUGAGGCCCAGCAAGUCCUGACUUGGCACAGGGCCCAGCACAUGGCGCAGUAACAAUAUAAUGACCUUAUGGAGUCCCCCAGGAUACAGGGUCAAAGGAGAGCACAACCGUCGCAGUUUCAAGCCCAUGGGGCAGAGCCCGGGACACAGUGAGCGUACAAUAGACGUUAGCUGCCAUGGUCUCUUGAUUUCAAGCCCAGUGCAGGUGCAUGUGACUCGUGAAACUUCAGUGACAUCUCCUCUGUGCCAGACACUGAAGAUGGAGCAGCGAACAGCACUGACCCAACCUGCCCUCCUGUUGCCUACAGGCCAGAAGCGAUGUCUCGCUGUGUUACCCGGGCUGGAGUGCAGUGGCUACUUACAGGCAUGAUCAUAGCACACUGCAGUCUUGAACUCCUGGACUAAAGCAGUUCUCCUGCCUCAGCCUCCAGAGCAGCUGGGACUGCAGACACGCACCACAGACAGAGCCCAGCCUGAGUCAUUCUGAUUCUGUAACUGGCUUCCUCUCGGUGAGCUGGCUCACACCCUCCACCCCCAGCUGGAGAAGGAAAGAGGAUGCUCACCGUUCAUUCCUCAUGCAGGCCAUCGAUGGAAAUGUCAGAUAGUGCGAGUCCACGCUUGAACACCUCUGGGGUCCGCUCUGGGACUGACACUGGCAGAUUCAUCGAUGAGCUCCCGCCUGCCACCUCUGGGCCUGCAUUGCCGUGAUACGGCCAAGAGCCUGGGUCUUCAAUUCUCCAGACUUGCCGAAUGCACAGCGCAGGCCUUCUCGGCAACUGCAGACAAGCAGAGGCAGCACCUGGGCUCUGCCUGUGCCUGGUACAGUGAGGCAAGGGUGGGGGUAGGAAUGAGGGUCCUCUCCGUGCAAGGCGGAAAGAUAGAAGAACAAAAUUUCACCCUAACGUAGUGUCUUUAGACCAUGAAAUGCUGUGCUCCUGUUAGUCUGAUAUCAGGGGCUUGCAGCCUGGCAAAGGAAAAGAAAAACAGGCUGAGGCACGUGAUAGAAGACAGGCAGGGAUCCCACAAUCAUAACCAUGGCAAAGACCAGGAUCAAACAGGCCCACCAUCUCUGACCCCAAAUCCCUGGGCAGAUGGUUCCAGAACUCAGAAUUUUCCCAGUUUUAGAAAGAUGGGGCCAGGUGCAGUGGCUCACACCUGUAAUCCCAGCACUUUGGGAGGCCAAGGUGGGCGGAUCACCUGAGGUCAGGAGUUCGAGACCAGCCUGGCCAACAUGGUGAAACCCUGUCUCUA
Long non-coding RNA from Piliocolobus tephrosceles (Ugandan red Colobus), 1389 nucleotides. RefSeq lists it as uncharacterized. The transcript has 4 exons. The record is from RefSeq and is a predicted model, not a curated record. NCBI's taxonomy places the organism in Eukaryota, Metazoa, Chordata, Mammalia, Primates, Cercopithecidae.